GUGCUCGCUUUGGCAGCACAUAUAAAAAUUGGAACGAUACAGAGAAGAUUAGCAUGGCCUGUGCACAAGGAUGACAUGCAAAUUCGUGAAGCAUUCCAUUUAAAA
Molecule: small nuclear RNA, 105 nt
Filed under: Prolemur simus (greater bamboo lemur)
Lineage: Eukaryota; Metazoa; Chordata; Mammalia; Primates; Lemuridae
Source: RNAcentral